UGAGGAAUAUUGGUCAAUGGGCGCAAGCCUGAACCAGCCAUCCCGCGUGCAGGAAGAAGGCGCUAUGCGUUGUAAACUGCUUUUCCAGGGGGCGAACGUUUCGUACGUGUACGGGAGUGACGGUACCUUGGGAAUAAGCAUCGGCUAACUCCGUGCCAGCAGCCGCGGUAAUACGGAGGAUGCGAGCGUUAUCCGGAUUUAUUGGGUUUAAAGGGUGCGUAGGCGGAUUAAUAAGUCAGUGGUGAAAUCCUGCAGCUUAACUGUGGAAUUGCCGUUGAUACUGUUAGUCUUGAGUAUGGUCAAGGUAGGCGGAAUGUGUAAUGUAGCGGUGAAAUGCUUGGAUAUUACACAGAACACCGAUUGCGAAGGCAGCUUACUGGGCCGUUACUGACGCUGAUGCACGAAAGCGUGGGGAUCGAACAG
RNAcentral lists this ribosomal RNA (423 nucleotides) under uncultured bacterium. RNAcentral describes it as "bacterial SSU rRNA". It matches the Rfam family "Bacterial small subunit ribosomal RNA", at positions 355 to 775 of the family's 1533-position model. The record is from RNAcentral.